UCUAUCGUAUCUUCUGUCGGUGGUGCAUCAGUGUGCGCGAAUAUCAACACACACAUAACCGAGGUGACAUGCCGCUGCGUGUUUUCACUGUGGGACUGAGAAUCCUAGCGGCCUACGUGACAGCCACAGGCAUCUUAAGCCUGGUCCCGACCAUGGUUCGCACCUACCUCCGGCAGCGGCGACCCAGUUCACUGAUGGCCGGCCAUGUGAACCGCACACUCUUUGGGGUGCUGCUAAUGCUCCUCUGCCUUGGCGUGGGUGUUGAAACAGGUGGCUUGAUGGUGAUACUCGUGGGAGUCUACCUGAUGUCCACAGGGAUCUUCCGGCUGGCCAGAAAGGAAAUCUGCAUAUCUUCUGAACUCAGCAUCGCUUCUUCACAACAUGCAACAAUAUCUCAAAGUCUGGAAGAAACGCAUGCGGAGGUAUGGCUCCUGAAAUGGGUUUAACGUUGUCGUUCUGAACAAUAUCAAGAAUGCACCAUCAUGGCAAUCUUUCCAAUGUAUUUGCUCCUUGUUGACUUUAUGUAUACAAAUUAUGCAUAAUAUGUUGUAUAAUGUAUUUGUGUGUAAUCAUUAUUGGAAGGAAAAAUGUCAAUAAGAAGAAU
This is a long non-coding RNA of Schistocerca gregaria, 604 nucleotides long. RefSeq lists it as uncharacterized. NCBI's taxonomy places the organism in Eukaryota, Metazoa, Arthropoda, Insecta, Orthoptera, Acrididae. The record is from RefSeq and is a predicted model, not a curated record. The transcript has 3 exons.